GACACCUUGGCGGAGUGGUUAUCGCGUUUGACUACUAAUCAAAUACCCUAGUGGUGCGCAGGUUCGAAUCCUGCAGGUGUCG
Transfer RNA from Catenaria anguillulae PL171, 82 nucleotides. It matches the Rfam family "tRNA". From Rfam's summary of the family: Transfer RNA (tRNA) molecules are approximately 80 nucleotides in length. Their secondary structure includes four short double-helical elements and three loops (D, anti-codon, and T loops). The record is from Rfam. Lineage: Eukaryota; Fungi; Blastocladiomycota; Blastocladiomycetes; Blastocladiales; Catenariaceae.